Long non-coding RNA from Saccostrea echinata, 498 nucleotides. RefSeq lists it as uncharacterized. The transcript has 2 exons. The record is from RefSeq and is a predicted model, not a curated record. NCBI's taxonomy places the organism in Eukaryota, Metazoa, Mollusca, Bivalvia, Ostreida, Ostreidae.
UUUCUUACACAGAGAUAAAGUUUAUCACAAUGAACCAUUUUAUUUGUUUAGAAGUUUUUGCACUCAUUUUCCUUCUCAGAGGAACUGCUUCCGAACUAACAAGUCCUGAUGUUAGUAAUUCAACUAAGAAUAACACAAAGGAUUCUCCAAAAGUUUUUUCGGACAGAGCUGACAGUGUAUUUUUCAUUGACAAACCUGUCUUACGGAAACCAGUCCGCAUGCGCAGGAUUAAGCUCAUACCCCCCAGAGCUAGGUGAAGGCUUAGAACAUGACUACAUGAGAAUCACAUUUCCUUGUUCAAGAUUGAUUGUGGUUAAAUUAAAAAAAUACAUGUACAUAUUUAAUUUUACUUUUAUCAAGCUUAAGAAUGUAUGAAUUUUUUUUUUAAUCUGAUUCGAUAUUAAGUUGUAAAUUGUCAAUAACUUAUAUAACACAUGUAUAUGUCUACUUUAUGCAUGAAAAUAAUAGCAAUCAAAUGAUUAAAUCUUCCUUAUGGUG